GCUCGCUUAGAGAAGCGGUGAACUCGCCACAUUCACGCUGUGGAGAUCGCCGGUUCGAACCCGGCAGUGAGCA
RNAcentral lists this transfer RNA (73 nucleotides) under Trichosporon asahii var. asahii CBS 8904. RNAcentral describes it as "tRNA-Val (CAC) (tRNA-Val-CAC-3-1)". It matches the Rfam family "tRNA". Rfam says of the family: Transfer RNA (tRNA) molecules are approximately 80 nucleotides in length. Their secondary structure includes four short double-helical elements and three loops (D, anti-codon, and T loops). Lineage: Eukaryota; Fungi; Basidiomycota; Tremellomycetes; Trichosporonales; Trichosporonaceae. The record is from RNAcentral.